RNAcentral lists this transfer RNA (73 nucleotides) under Canis lupus familiaris (dog). It matches the Rfam family "tRNA". Rfam says of the family: Transfer RNA (tRNA) molecules are approximately 80 nucleotides in length. Their secondary structure includes four short double-helical elements and three loops (D, anti-codon, and T loops). Further hydrogen bonds mediate the characteristic L-shaped molecular structure. tRNAs have two regions of fundamental functional importance: the anti-codon, which is responsible for specific mRNA codon recognition, and the 3' end, to which the tRNAs corresponding amino acid is attached (by aminoacyl-tRNA synthetases). tRNAs cope with the degeneracy of the genetic code in two manners: having more than one tRNA (with a specific anti-codon) for a particular amino acid; and 'wobble' base-pairing, i.e. permitting non-standard base-pairing at the 3rd anti-codon position. Lineage: Eukaryota; Metazoa; Chordata; Mammalia; Carnivora; Canidae. RNAcentral also lists the same sequence under 1 other name. The record is from Rfam by way of RNAcentral.
UCCUGGCUGGCUCAGUUGGUGGAGCAUGAGACUCUAGAUCUCAGGGUUGUGAGCUCGAGCCCCAUGUUGUGUG